RNAcentral lists this ribosomal RNA (1136 nucleotides) under Candidatus Phytoplasma prunorum. Its description in RNAcentral is "bacterial SSU rRNA". It matches the Rfam family "Bacterial small subunit ribosomal RNA", at positions 202 to 1346 of the family's 1533-position model. The record is from RNAcentral. Lineage: Bacteria; Bacillati; Mycoplasmatota; Mollicutes; Acholeplasmatales; Acholeplasmataceae.
AAAGACCCGCAAGGGUAUGCUGAGAGAUGGGCUUGCGGCACAUUAGUUAGUUGGUAAGGUAAUGGCUUACCAAGACUAUGAUGUGUAGCUGGACUGAGAGGUUGAACGGCCACAUUGGGACUGAGAUACGGCCCAAACUCCUACGGGAGGCAGCAGUAAGGAAUUUUCGGCAAUGGAGGAAACUCUGACCGAGCAACGCCGCGUGAACGAUGAAGUAUUUAGGUACGUAAAGUUCUUUUAUUAAAGAAGAAAAAAUGAUGGAAAAAUCAUUCUGACGGUAUUUAAUGAAUAAGCCCCGGCUAACUAUGUGCCAGCAGCUGCGGUAAUACAUGGGGGGCAAGCGUUAUCCGGAUUUAUUGGGCGUAAAGGGUGCGUAGGCGGUUAAAUAAGUCUAUGGUAUAAGUUCAACGCUUAACGUUGUGAUGCUAUAGAAACUGUUUGACUAGAGUUGGAUAGAGGCAAGUGGAAUUCCAUGUGUAGCGGUAAAAUGCGUAAAUAUAUGGAGGAACACCAGUAGCGAAGGCGGCUUGCUGGGUCUUAACUGACGCUGAGGCACGAAAGCGUGGGGAGCAAACAGGAUUAGAUACCCUGGUAGUCCACGCCGUAAACGAUGAGUACUAAGUGUUGGGUUAAACCAGUGCUGAAGUUAACACAUUAAGUACUCCGCCUGAGUAGUACGUACGCAAGUAUGAAACUUAAAGGAAUUGACGGGACUCCGCACAAGCGGUGGAUCAUGUUGUUUAAUUCGAAGAUACACGAAAAACCUUACCAGGUCUUGACAUACUCUGCAAAGCUAUAGAAAUAUAGUGGAGGUUAUCAGGGAUACAGGUGGUGCAUGGUUGUCGUCAGCUCGUGUCGUGAGAUGUUGGGUUAAGUCCCGCAACGAGCGCAACCCUUAUCACUAGUUACCAUCAUUUAGUUGGGCACUUUAGUGAGACUGCCAAUGAUAAAUUGGAGGAAGGUGGGGAUUACGUCAAAUCAUCAUGCCCCUUAUGACCUGGGCUACAAACGUGAUACAAUGGCUGUUACAAAGAGUAGCUGAAACGUGAGUUUUUAGCAAAUCUCAAAAAAACAGUCUCAGUUCGGAUUGAAGUCUGCAACUCGACUUCAUGAAGUCGGAAUCGCUAGUAAUCGCG